ACUCAAAUGAAUAGACGGGGGCCCGCACAAGCAGUGGAGCAUGUGGUUUAAUUGGAUGCUACGCCAAGAACCUUACCAAGACUUGACUUCCCAGUGUAAUCCCGUAGAAAUAUGGGACCCCUUCGGGCACUGGUGACAGGUGGUGCAUGGUUGUCGUCAGCUCGUGCCGUGAGGUGUUGGAUUAAGUUCCGCAACGAGCGCAACCCUCGUGUUUAGUUGCCAUCAUUAAGUUGGGCACUCUAGACAGACUGCCGGCGUCAAGCCGGAGGAAGGUGGGGAUGACGUCAAAUCAUCAUGCCCCUUACGUCUUGGGCUACACACGUGCUACAAUGGGCGAUACAACGGGUUGCCACACCGCGAGGUGGAGCGAAUCCUUCAAAGUCGUCCUCAGUUCGGAUUGUAGGCUGCAACUCGCCUGCAUGAAGCUGGAAUUGCUAGUAACCGUGCAUCAGCAUGGCGCGGUGAAUACGUACCCGGGCCUUGUACACACCGCCCGU
This 497-nucleotide ribosomal RNA is filed under the name uncultured bacterium. RNAcentral's name for it is "partial 16S ribosomal RNA". It matches the Rfam family "Bacterial small subunit ribosomal RNA", at positions 899 to 1397 of the family's 1533-position model. The record is from RNAcentral.